Molecule: ribosomal RNA, 460 nt
Filed under: uncultured bacterium
Lineage: Bacteria
Description: partial 16S ribosomal RNA
Rfam family: Bacterial small subunit ribosomal RNA
Source: RNAcentral
CCUACGGGAGGCAGCAGUGAGGAAUAUUGGUCAAUGGGCGAGAGCCUGAACCAGCCAAGUCGCGUGAAGGAUGAAGGAUCUAUGGUUUGUAAACUUCUUUUAUAUGGGAAUAAAAUGUUCCACGUGUGGGAUUUUGUAUGUACCAUAUGAAUAAGGAUCGGCUAACUCCGUGCCAGCAGCCGCGGUAAUACGGUGGAUCCGAGCGUUAUCCGGAUUUAUUGGGUUUAAAGGGAGCGUAGGUGGAUUGUUAAGUCAGUUGUGAAAGUUUGCGGCUCAACCGUAAAAUUGCAGUUGAAACUGGCAGUCUUGAGUACAGUAGAGGUGAGCGGAAUUCGUGGUGUAGCGGUGAAAUGCUUAGAUAUCACGAAGAACUCCGAUUGCGAAGGCAGCUCACUGGACUGCAACUGACACUGAGGCUCGAAAGUGUGGGUAUCAAACAGGAUUAGAUACCCCAGUAGUC